Molecule: RNA transcript, 1936 nt
Organism: Coregonus clupeaformis (lake whitefish)
Lineage: Eukaryota; Metazoa; Chordata; Actinopteri; Salmoniformes; Salmonidae
Gene name: serine/arginine-rich splicing factor 2-like
Exons: 4
Source: RefSeq, a predicted model, not a curated record
ACCUCAUUCAACGAGGAGGAGCAAGGUACAACAGCUCGUGCGAACAAAUGGUAUGUGCUAAGGAAAUCGUCAUAAAUUUGGAAAGCUAUAUUUCAGUUUUUUAAGAAAAACUCGACAUAUAGCGAGCAGGGUGUUUAAGUACGAUACUUUUAAUCAAAAACUUUACGCGGGUGUUGACCUUUCACCCUCAUUUUCUGAUAGUACCGUUGCGUGUUUGUUAGCUAGGCUAGCUAAGCUAUCUGCAACAUGAGUUAUGGUAGGCCCCCGCCCGAUGUUGAGGGCAUGACUUCUCUUAAAGUGGAUAAUCUGACGUACCGAACUUCACCUGAGACCCUUCGCCGUGUCUUCGAAAAGUAUGGUAGGGUAGGAGAUGUUUACAUCCCCCGAGAUCGUUAUACGAAAGAGAGCAGAGGGUUCUCCUUUGUGCGAUUCCAUGACAAGCGGGAUGCAGAGGAUGCGAUGGACGCAAUGGAUGGUGCCGUGCUGGACGGGCGCGAGCUGAGAGUCCAGAUGGCACGCUACGGACGUCCCCCAGAUUCUCACCAUGGAGGUGGUGGUGACCGUGGAGAGCGUGGUGACCGUCGGCGUGGAGGUGCUCCCCGGAGGUACGGGGGUGAUGGCCGACGAAGUAGGAGUCCCAGGCGUCGGAGACGCAGCAGAUCCCGGAGCAGAAGCCGAUCUCGUUCCCGCAGCCGUUCCCGCAACAGCCGAUCAAGGUCCCGUUCCUACUCUCGCUCCAAGUCCCGCUCCCCUAAGAGAGACAAGGCCAAGUCCCCAUCCAGGUCCCGCUCCAGAUCCAAAUCCAAGACCCCUAAGUCAAAGUCCCGUUCCAGGAGCCACACCCCUGCAGAAAGAGGCUCACGGUCAAGAUCCAAGAGCCAGCCCAAGUCACCUGGGGCGAAUGGCGCUGAAACCCCAUAGAUGAGUGACAAAAUGCUGCGGAAUCCUGUUUGCAAAAGAGGAGUUUGAGGCAGUAUGAGCAGUUAGUGAGCUGGGUGUGUGAGCUGUCCGGGCACCUGCUGCUGUGGGGGUUGCUAUGGAGCAGGCCGGUUGCAGGUUGCAGGCCGGUUGCAGGUUGCAGUCAGUGUUGGGGUGGUGUUGAGAUGAGACGCCAAUGAGGACGUCAGACUGCGGACCCUGUCCAUACAAUGAUUUCUGGUGUAAAAGGUUAUUAUUGUAUCUUGACCGGAAGGUGUUUUUUUUUUUUGUUUGCCCAGACUUGUCUUUCAGUGUGCAAUGUUUUAAUAAAUAAAUACUUACUGUGCUUUUGAGGUAGGUGGGCAAUACUGCUGGGAUUUGAAUUAGUUGGACUGCAUGGCUAUUUUCAGUAUCUAAAACUGUCAUAGUGAAGAUUUGCUGGCCUAGCUUUUACAACUGUUAUUUUGGGUUUCAUGAGAACUGUUCAGGGAGAUAUGGGGUUAGUGAAAGGCCAUUACAGAAGUUUAAAUGGAUAGGGCUUCCAAAAGCUUUUAGGAUAAGUACGGAAAGAACCAAGCACAGAUUUACUUGCAAGUGAACUUUGCGAUGUAGGUUUAUCUUUAAUUUAAUUGUGACUCUAAUCUUCUCUCCUGUAUUUUUUGUGCACUAGGCGCAGUUGUGUAGCAGUUGAGUAUUGCUGGUUAGCUGUUAAGGUGGCGUGUUGCAGUGCUUGGCUGUUUCCAGUGUUCUCCGGGAAUGCCCCUGUGGCUACAAUGCUGUGAUGGUGGCCAACUUAAAUGGCUGCUACAAAUUCACCAUCGGUAGAAUGCCUGUCUUGCUUUCAACACAAGUUUAAAUGUUCUCUAAUUCGGAGCACCAAGUAUGGUAUGCUAAUUUUUGUUUGUUUCAUUGUCAAACAGAACAGAUGCAUUCUGUCUUGCCCUUUUGUGCAUUCCUUUUCCCCCUUGCAAGAGUAUAAGUGUCCAAUGUGAAAGCUAAUAAAAAUUAUCUUCUAAAA